RNAcentral lists this long non-coding RNA (1214 nucleotides) under Callithrix jacchus (white-tufted-ear marmoset). RNAcentral describes it as "lncRNA (ENSCJAG00000052592.2)". Lineage: Eukaryota; Metazoa; Chordata; Mammalia; Primates; Cebidae. The record is from RNAcentral.
ACACCUUUUGCUCUUGCUUUUUGGUUUUAUUUUGUUUUGCAAAACAGGGGAGUAGUGACUUCCGGACUAGGCUUUCUGCCUUGUGCCAGAGAGCCACAGUACACUGUUUUUAUUUUUAUUUUUUGGUAAGACUUGCAAUGAGAGGAACUUAGAAUAUAAAAUAUUCAUUUCUUUUAAACAAAACCAUUUCUUUUUCUUUUAAAUAGAUAUGUGAUCAUUUAGCACACGGGUGUUAAGUUCAUUCUUGCUGCAAAAGAAGGCCAUUGUAUCUCCUGACCCUGAAAGCAAGGAAGUAUUUGAAGCCCAGGGGAUUGUGGUGAAAAAGACAAACACUGCCCCAUCUGUCCUGAAACAGACAUUUCAGAGGAGGGAAAUGGAUGAUAAACAGGGACACUGGAUUUUGUGGAUGCUCCUUGGACACACUGGAAUGCACCUUGGGUAGCCUAUGGAUCAUUUUUCCCAGUGUGAAGAAUGGUAGGAGCUGGAAAAUGAGCUCAUGAGCUGGUUGAGCCAGCACAACAAGCUGGAGCCAGGUAUGGUGACCUGUGCCUGUGGUCUCAGCUACUCUGGAGGCUGAGGCAGGAAGACUGCAUGAGCCCAGAAAUUCGAGGUUACAGUGAACUAUGAUCACACCACUUGUCUCCAGCCUAGGUGACACAGUGAGACUCUCUCAAACAAACUACAACAACAACAACAAAUGAAUAUAUUUCCCAAUUGUGAGUAGAGUCUUGAAAAUGUUUAUUUUCUGAUUUUUCUGUGUACUUAGAGUGAACAGAAAUUAGGUGGUGUAGCUCAGUGUGUAAUGAGUUGCAAUUGCCACAUGUUCAGUUCCAUCUCUGCCAUUUACUAGCUGUAUAAACUUGGGCAAGUUGCUUAAAUCCCUCUGAAUCUGUUUUCUCAUCUGCAAAAUGGGCUUAAGAUAAUUCUCGUGGAUCAACUGUCAAGCAUUUGUUUUCAUGUAAUCUUAAGUGAUAAUUCUGUUACUUUUUACUUUGGGAUUUUAAGGUAUAAUCUAGAGAGUCAUCUCCAAUCCAGGUUAUAGAUUAAUUCAUCCAGGGUUUUUUCGCUCUAAAAUUUUAGAUGUUUUAUCUUUUACACACAAAUUUCUCAUCCACUUAGAAGUUGUCCUGUAUAUAGUCCAAGGAGUAGCUUCAAUUUUAUCUCUUUGCUUAUAGCUGUCCAGCUACCCUAACAUAACUUAUUAAAAGUUCCAU